GGAGGCAGCUAACCACGGUAGGGUCAGCGACUGGGGUGAAGUCGUAACAAGGUAGCCGUAGGGGAACCUGCGGCUGGAUCACCUCCUUUCUAAGGAAGCCGAUUUUAGCAAGGGUGGCCGUAUGGCCCGCCUGGAUGCCCUUCGAGCGCAAGCGAGAAGGACAAGCUAUCCAGGCCACGCAAAAUCCGCUUUUUAGAACAUAGAUGGCACCAGUCAGGUGACCAUCGAAACGUAAUACGCCGCGAUGACUUCGGUCACGACGGUAUGGCGAGCUUUCGCCGUCCACGUUUCUCUUUCUUCAAAAGGAUAUCGAACCAUGGGUUUGCGCUCGCGCGCUGUUCGCACCUUCGGUGCUGCGCUCCGCGAGGGCGCCGGACGACCGGCGACGGCCUCUGGCCUGUAUGGACGACCCUUUCCGAGGUUUUGCUUAGGAUUGGCGUCGAUGCAGAGAGAUGGGCCCGUAGCUCAGUUGGUUAGAGCACACGCUUGAUAAGCGUGGGGUCGGAAGUUCAAGUCUUCCCGGGCCCACCAUUUGCACCAGCAAAUGAGGUUUGCUGGUGCGAAUUGUGGUUUGUUUGGGUUUACCUGAUCCUGGCGGUUUGCUGUCAGGUGUUUGCGAUGGUUGGGGCUGUAGCUCAGCUGGGAGAGCACCUGCUUUGCAAGCAGGGGGUCAGCGGUUCGAUCCCGCUCAGCUCCACCAAAUCCUGUCCUGACGCUGUCGCGCUCUUCGAGCGCACGCUCCGGACGGGCCGGCCAAUGAUGGCCGACGGCCUCUGGCCUGUAUUUGGAUCGUUGCUGGCGGCGAAAAAGAUAUCCUUUGAAGAAAUAAAAGUUUUGCAUCGGCUUAUGGCUGCUGCGUGUUCUGCAUACAUUGUGAAGAGAAGAUUGAUCUGGAGGCUUCCAGGUGUUUUGGGUUUUACCCAAGGCGUCCGAGCCCAGUUCUGAUGAUCCCAUGAAUGGCCUAGCCGGCCGGAUAUGGGUGAAGGACUGGAGGUAGGAGGGAAGCUUGUCACUCUGGAUCGUUUGUUGUUCGUUGCCUUUGGGCUUCGUCUGAUGAACGAUCGGAUUACCGUUGCCUGACCGCGCGGUAUCGGAUCAUAUCUCGAGAAGCUGGUCUUA
RNAcentral lists this unclassified non-coding RNA (1119 nucleotides) under Rhizobium leguminosarum. Its description in RNAcentral is "partial contains 16S ribosomal RNA, 16S-23S ribosomal RNA intergenic spacer, and 23S ribosomal RNA". The stretch from base 1 to 89 matches the Rfam family "Bacterial small subunit ribosomal RNA", at positions 1445 to 1533 of the family's 1533-position model. The record is from RNAcentral. Lineage: Bacteria; Pseudomonadati; Pseudomonadota; Alphaproteobacteria; Hyphomicrobiales; Rhizobiaceae.